CCUUUCUUACUCAGCAACCAACUGCAUAGAAGACGCUUUCUGGUGAUGAUGAUGAUGAUGAUGAUGAUGUGGUGAUCCAGGUGACAGGGGCACCAGAGGAGCAUCAGGCUGCAGGUGCCAGACAGGCACAGCGUCCCCCAACAGCCCUCAAGAGGCCUUCAGCUAUGAAAAUAAUACAGUGACACAGGAGCUUCUCAGCAGUAAGUCCUGGGCUCAGGGGGACACAGUGGAGGGUGGGUCAUU
This 243-nucleotide long non-coding RNA is filed under the name Fukomys damarensis (Damara mole-rat). RNAcentral describes it as "lncRNA (ENSFDAG00000026125.1)". The record is from RNAcentral. Lineage: Eukaryota; Metazoa; Chordata; Mammalia; Rodentia; Bathyergidae.